RNAcentral lists this ribosomal RNA (253 nucleotides) under uncultured bacterium. Its description in RNAcentral is "partial 16S ribosomal RNA". It matches the Rfam family "Bacterial small subunit ribosomal RNA", at positions 524 to 776 of the family's 1533-position model. The record is from RNAcentral.
GACGAACCGUCCUAACGUUAUUCGGAAUCACUGGGCUUAAAGGGCGCGUAGGCGGACGAGCAAGUCCGGAGUGAAAUCCUCCGGCUUAACCGGAGAAGUGCUUUGGAUACUGCUCGUCUUGAGGGAGGUAGGGGCAUGUGGAACUUCUGGUGGAGCGGUGAAAUGCGUUGAUAUCAGAAGGAACACCGAUGGCGAAGGCAAUCCCCUGGGCCUGCACUGACGCUCAUGCACGAAAGCGUGGGGAGCAAACAGG